Long non-coding RNA from Diceros bicornis minor, 146 nucleotides. RefSeq lists it as uncharacterized. The record is from RefSeq and is a predicted model, not a curated record. NCBI's taxonomy places the organism in Eukaryota, Metazoa, Chordata, Mammalia, Perissodactyla, Rhinocerotidae. The transcript is spliced from 3 exons.
ACAGCCAUGCUCUCUCUGCCAGUCAAAGUUCUGUGUUGCCUCCGUUGCUCUAAAGUUAUACCUAUGGAGCUGCAGCCCCGACUACCAACACUUUGGGGCACAACCUGAAGACCCUCACAGUCAAUGUCACCAUCUCCACCUUCUGG